AUUGAACGCUGGCGGCAUGCUUUACACAUGCAAGUCGAACGGUAACAGGUUAAGCUGACGAGUGGCGAACGGGUGAGUAAUGCAUCGGAACGUGCCCGAUCGUGGGGGAUAACGCAGCGAAAGCUGCGCUAAUACCGCAUACGAUCUGAGGAUGAAAGCGGGGGACCGUAAGGCCUCGCGCGAUCGGAGCGGCCGAUGUCAGAGGAGGUAGUUGGUGAGGGAAAGGCUCACCAAGCCAACGAUCGUUAGCUGGUCUGAGAGGACGACCAGCAGAAUGGGGCAUGAGCCACGGCCCAGACGCCUAAGGGAGGCAGCAGUUGGGAAUUUUGGACAAUGGGCGAAAGCCUGAUCCAGCAAUGCAGCGUGCAGGAAGAAGGCCUUCGGGUUGUAAACUGCUUUUGUACGGAGCGAAAAGGCUCUCUCUCAUACAGGGGGCUCAUGACGGUACCGUAAGAAUAAGCACCGGCUAACUACGUGCCAGCCGCCGCCGUAC
Molecule: ribosomal RNA, 493 nt
Filed under: uncultured bacterium
Lineage: Bacteria
Description: partial 16S ribosomal RNA
Rfam family: Bacterial small subunit ribosomal RNA
Source: RNAcentral